RNAcentral lists this ribosomal RNA (253 nucleotides) under uncultured bacterium. RNAcentral's name for it is "partial 16S ribosomal RNA". It matches the Rfam family "Bacterial small subunit ribosomal RNA", at positions 524 to 776 of the family's 1533-position model. The record is from RNAcentral.
UACAGAGGUGGCAAGCGUUGUUCGGAAUUACUGGGCGUAAAGGGCGCGUAGGCGGCCAUCUAAGUCAGACGUGAAAUCCCCCGGCUUAACCUGGGAACUGCGUCUGAUACUGGAAGGCUUGAGUAUGGGAGAGGGAUGUAGAAUUCCAGGUGUAGCGGUGAAAUGCGUAGAUAUCUGAAGGAAUACCGGUGGCGAAGGCGGCAUCCUGGACCAUUACUGACGCUGAGGCGCGAAAGCUAGGGGAGCAAACGGG